Molecule: non-coding RNA, 71 nt
Organism: Podarcis lilfordi (Lilford's wall lizard)
Lineage: Eukaryota; Metazoa; Chordata; Lepidosauria; Squamata; Lacertidae
Source: the annotation of a GenBank genome assembly
CCAUGGAUAGCUCAGCUGGUUAGAACAUGGUGCUGACAAUGCCAAGCCUGCGGGUUCAAUCCUUGUAUGGG